GCAGCGCCGCAGUGACCUCCGCGGCGCCGAUGUCGGCGGAGAGGCGGCGGCGUGGAAGGCGGCGGAGGAGACGAAGGGGAAGGGAGACGGAAAGGGCGAGAAGGGUGAGAGAGUCGUCGUCGUCGAAGGCAGUGGAGGAGGGUCAGAGAAGGGAACAGAAAAAAAUCGCAGCGCGGCCUCGGCGGGGUCGGAGGCGAGGAAGGCGGGGGUACACGGGCGAGGGUAAGGAUGCGCCGGACAAAACCGAAGCGGGCCGCC
Molecule: long non-coding RNA, 258 nt
Filed under: Ananas comosus (pineapple)
Lineage: Eukaryota; Viridiplantae; Streptophyta; Magnoliopsida; Poales; Bromeliaceae
Description: long non-coding RNA (ACOM_LNC026877)
Source: RNAcentral